Molecule: ribosomal RNA, 530 nt
Filed under: uncultured bacterium
Lineage: Bacteria
Description: bacterial SSU rRNA
Rfam family: Bacterial small subunit ribosomal RNA
Source: RNAcentral
UGGGGAAUAUUGCACAAUGGGCGGAAGCCUGAUGCAGCGACGCCGCGUGGGGGAUGAAGGCCUUCGGGUUGUAAACCCCUUUCGACAGGGACGAAGCUUUUGUGACGGUACCUGUAUAAGAAGCACCGGCUAACUACGUGCCAGCAGCCGCGGUAAUACGUAGGGUGCGAGCGUCGUCCGGAAUUACUGGGCGUAAAGAGCUCGUAGGUGGUUUGUCGCGUCGUCUGUGAAAUUCCGGGGCUUAACUCCGGGCGUGCAGGCGAUACGGGCUGACUUGAGUGCUGUAGGGGAGACUGGAAUUCCUGGUGUAGCGGUGAAAUGCGCAGAUAUCAGGAGGAACACCGAUGGCGAAGGCAGGUCUCUGGGCAGUAACUGACGCUGAGGAGCGAAAGCAUGGGUAGCGAACAGGAUUAGAUACCCUGGUAGUCCAUGCCGUAAGCGGUGGGCGCUAGGUGUAGGGGGCUUCCACGUCUUCUGUGCCGUAGCUAACGCAUUAAGCGCCCCGCCUGGGGAGUACGGCCGCAAGGCUA